GAUGAACGCUGGCGGCGUGCCUAAUACAUGCAAGUCGAGCGAACAGACGAGGAGCUUGCUCCUCUGAUGUUAGCGGCGGACGGGUGAGUAACACGUGGAUAACCUACCUAUAAGACUGGGAUAACUUCGGGAAACCGGAGCUAAUACCGGAUAAUAUAUUGAACCGCAUGGUUCAAUAGUGAAAGACGGUUUUGCUGUCACUUAUAGAUGGAUCCGCGCCGCAUUAGCUAGUUGGUAAGGUAACGGCUUACCAAGGCAACGAUGCGUAGCCGACCUGAGAGGGUGAUCGGCCACACUGGAACUGAGACACGGCCCAGACUCCUACGGGAGGCAGCAGUAGGGAAUCUUCCGCAAUGGGCGAAAGCCUGACGGAGCAACGCCGCGUGAGUGAUGAAGGUCUUCGGAUCGUAAAACUCUGUUAUUAGGGAAGAACAAAUGUGUAAGUAACUAUGCACGUCUUGACGGUACCUAAUCAGAAAGCCACGGCUAACUACGUG
RNAcentral lists this ribosomal RNA (497 nucleotides) under uncultured bacterium. RNAcentral describes it as "partial 16S ribosomal RNA". It matches the Rfam family "Bacterial small subunit ribosomal RNA", at positions 28 to 507 of the family's 1533-position model. The record is from RNAcentral.